RNAcentral lists this ribosomal RNA (476 nucleotides) under uncultured prokaryote. Its description in RNAcentral is "partial 16S ribosomal RNA". The record is from RNAcentral.
CCCUACGGGGUGCGGGGAUUCAGGUGGGCAGGGGGGAGGAUCAGGCAAUCCGGCCAAUGCAGCCGGCGGCUUGAACCUCCUCGCGUCCAGCGACCAGCCUUAGCUAUGGAAUCCGUCAGUCACCAGGCCCUGCUAAUGAUCGCGUGUCUCAUCCUGUUGCCGGGGCUCGCCGCCUGCAUCUUAUGGGGACGGCGCGAGGCGGAGUGGUUGAAGCGGGAAUUGGCGAAGAGGAACGGGGUCGAGGGGCAAUUGCGCAAGAUGUUACGGGCCGUUAGCAAAGUCCAUCUUCCAUCGUCAUUACGGACGUCGCGGGCAACAUUGAAUACGUCAAUCCGAAGUUCGGCGCGUUAACCGGCUACAGCCCCGAAGAGGUGGCGGGGAGAAACCCGCGGGUGCUCAAGUCGGGCCAGAUGGCGCCGGAGGUCUAUUCCAAGCUGUGGGAAACCCUGGUUUCAGGCCAUGAUUGGCGGGAGAGC